AUCAUUUUGGUUUUAAUUGUUUCUUAUUUUCCAGGGUGAUUCUGAUAGUUUUAGGGUCCGAUUGAUGACCUACAAAGGAAUACAAGGAAUGAAGAGGAACAUGAUUAAGAAAGAACAAACAGAAAAAAAAAUGAUAAAAUAUGAAUGAAGAGGAAUGAGUGUAGAGGAAAAAUAGAACACAUGUUACUGUAAAUGAUAACCAAAACAUAGAACAAAUAGUAACAAAAAGUA
RNAcentral lists this small RNA (231 nucleotides) under Arabidopsis thaliana (thale cress). RNAcentral's name for it is "ATSL153850". Lineage: Eukaryota; Viridiplantae; Streptophyta; Magnoliopsida; Brassicales; Brassicaceae. The record is from RNAcentral.